CUAACUUCAUUUAUAUGGACCCAUACUCUAUUGGUACCUUCCACUUGUGCUCAACCUCUCUUUGGGAUCUAUUCAAAAUAUACUCAAAAUUUCUUCCAAAUGAUAGCCUAUAGUAGCCAGUCUCCAGAUGGCCCCUCAUGACCCCUGAAUUCUGCUAUCAAUGCUCUUGAGUAGUCUCCCUCCCUGAGUAAAGCUGAUCAUGUAUCCAAUAGAAUAUUUUGGCUACAACAGAAUGUGACUCCAAAGAAUGAAUCCCAAAAGUCUUUGUCGUUCCAGACUUCUCUUGGAUUAUACACUCUGGGGAAAAAUCAGCUGCCAUGUCGUGAGGACACUUGAGCAGCCUCAUGGAGAGAUGGACGUGAUGAAGAUCUGGGUCCUCCUGCCAAUGGCCACAUGAGUCAGCCAUGUUGGAAGUGGAUCUUUCACCGCCAGCCAAGCCUGCUGACGACUUCAGCAGCAGCCAACAUUUUGACUGAGAUUUCAUGAGAGACCCUGAGCCAGAAACACCCAACCACGCUGCUUCCAGAUUCCUGAUAGAAACUGCAGAAGGUGAUAAUCUCAGAAGACAGAUCAGCUACCUGAGUGACAGCAGUUUGAUAUUGAAACGAUAUCAUCAUCCCAAAGACAGUUUCCCUUUUCUCUCUGGUGUAAUGCUAAUCUGCCAGGACGGAAGACAAACAAGUCCUAAGAGAAAGAUGUGCUUAACUGGCUUUCUUGAUAGAAUCCUGUGUUGUUAUCAAGGAACCAUCUUUAAGAUGCCCCUAACUCUAUUGCAUUUCAGUGGAACUUGCCUUGCAUUUUGCUGGAACUCAGUUUUACAAGAACAUUGUCCCUGUGUAGGAAGAAUAAUAUGAACUCUGCACUCAGAACCCAAAUACCUGGAUUUGUUAUUCAAGUUCCACUCACCAGCCUUGCGAUUUUGAGCAUAACCUGGGACACCAGCCUUCUCACCAGUGCCUGGAUCUGAUCUUGUAGCAGGAACCUCAAUCUCAGAAUUUCCAGACCCAUCACUUCACACAUUUCCCUAGGGCUGCGGCUGUUCUUAGAAACUCAUCAAAGUCGGAAUCAUUUGGGCAUGAGAAUUCAUCCAUAAAGUGACAGUUCCAGUCCUCCUGGAUCCAAGAAAUUCACACAAAGUAGGAGAAACCAUGCUACAGGAUUGAGGAGAAUGGGACGAGGAGACACAGCGACCCGGGGAUGUACUGAGGAAGAUUGUUCUGGUGGUGAAGUGGACGAAGGAUGGGAGGAAACAGGGUAUUUUGCCAGAUGCUGGGCUCAUAUUGGUGAACAAAACAGUUUCAAUCAUGCCUCGUGGAAUUUACAAUCCAGGAGAGAUAACAGACCCUGAGCAAAUAAUGAGGAGUGAAGCGAGAGGAGCAGGCGGCUUUAAUGGCGUAUCACGAGAAGGACCUACUGAAAUGUGGAAGUUCAAGACAGAUUUCCCCGAGGAAGAGACUGCGAUCAAAGAGAUGAAUAAAACGCAGCUGGAUAAAGGGAGAAGACUGGUAAUGACACAUACAACAGCACUGAGAUAAGAGGAACGACAUUUAUUGGUUUUAACGGUUUUGGGGGGUUCAUUUUUCUUGAUAGAUAUCUCAGAACUCUCUAUAUUAAGGGCAUUCAUCUUUAAUGUCAUUUGUUAUAAACAUCAUUUGUCCUUUCCUUUAAGCUCUAAUCUAUG
Molecule: non-coding RNA, 1681 nt
Organism: Ictidomys tridecemlineatus (thirteen-lined ground squirrel)
Lineage: Eukaryota; Metazoa; Chordata; Mammalia; Rodentia; Sciuridae
Source: RefSeq, a predicted model, not a curated record